Molecule: long non-coding RNA, 2052 nt
Organism: Mastomys coucha (southern multimammate mouse)
Lineage: Eukaryota; Metazoa; Chordata; Mammalia; Rodentia; Muridae
Exons: 7
Source: RefSeq, a predicted model, not a curated record
UGGUUUCCAUCCUUGGAAGGGGCCCAGAAAAAUGAGGGCCAAUUGUCUUCAGUUAUGCCCGUCGACUCAUAUCCACAUCCAUUUGGAAGUCCAGAUUCAAUGCCUGGAAGUCAAUUCACCUUCCCCUCAAACCAUCGCUCUUCCCUCUUUCCUUUCUCUAAAGUCUGGCUUUGGAAGUUCAAGCCCCAGUGCCACCACACUAACUCUAGAGUCAGGCGGUCUGGGCUACCCUUCUGCCGCCUACCACACGUGGGACACACUGGGUCCUCCUACCCAUCACCCACCAACCUUCCAUUUUGAUUUCCAUCCUAGGGAAGUGUAACUGGACACCUAUGCAUCGAAGCGUAGUCUUCAUCCUCUUCACCGAAUUCACUCACUGAGAAACUGCUGUGGGGUUACUGUACAAACAGGUCCAUCCAAAGGCUUUCCACAUUGGCCUGCCUCAUCCUUUGGGCCAUGUGUGCAUAGAUGCGGCCUUCAGUCCAACGAGGCAGGGGCACCCUGAGUCAUCUCCUGCCAUCUGGGCCUCCCCUUCCUACAAGCAGCUUUGUGUUUGCUGUGACCAGCCGAGAGAGCUUUGCUUCAUCGACAAUAGGAAAAUGUGUCGACCAGUCUGCAGGAAGGCUCAGAAGGUUCCUAAAGCAGUGUACCUGACAUCAGCAGGGGGACCUGAUUCGUGACUGCAAGGUGGCUGCCUCGCUGCUGCUGCACUGCUGCUGCUGCUGCCCCUGGAGAGCGAAUGGAGGGUGGCGUGGUCAAUCUCUUCCCAAGCAAGACACUCAAAGCAUAGCUGUCUGCUGUCAUCAUGCAUUUGAUACCACGGCAAGCACAUGGAACUCCUGUUAAAAGCUAGAGGGCCUCUGCAGUACGGAGGGAGCCACUGGAUAGAUGCAAGCUCUUUGAAGCAGGAUAUAAACACAUGAAGGCAACAGUCAGGCAUCGUAACAUUUUAUGGUGGAAUAAAAACAAAAACAAAAAACAUAGCAAAGAGGAUGAGGACCAAAGCAUUUCAUGUGGAACCUCUACUGUUUUAGUUACACCUGAGAGAGGAGAGGACCCCUGACUUCAAUUGAAGACAGCUAAAUAGGCCCUUGGGAAGAAGAUAGCUGUCUGGCUGGAGCCAAACUGCUUCCACAAGCCCGGCGUAAGGCCGCAAAGAGGACAAGAGAGGAGGAAAAUAUUGUAAUAAUGAAAUGUCAGCAGAUUAAUAAUCGUGAAUGCUUCCUUACUUGGGUGAACCCAAUUCACCACCAGUGAGCAGGAAUUGAGGGUAAAGAAUGAGCUCCAAGAACUGAAUAGGCAGAGUUCCUCCUAGAAUAAACCAAGGUCACUGUGGAGGUCGCUGGCAAGGAAGUCUGAAGUGGCCUGGACUGGAAUGGCUUGUGUUGAAGGGAAAAAGGGCUUGUUUUCAUUGCUCUGCUCAUGGGCACAAACAGUGACUCUGAAGUCUCGAAAACCCCAGCGCAGCACAACAGCCCAUUAUGUCACUGCGGUUUUGUUUUAAAAGGACAAAGAGGCAAGUUAGGACCCGAGCCUGCCGCCAGCCAGCCUUAAUGCCGCACUUUCCUUCUCCCUCUGGCUUAAUGGGAGAAAAACACUACCUAAAAGUCAUGAAGAAAAUCCCCAUCUUUUUGAAAAGCAGACCCGAGAUUAGGAAAUCUCAACAAUGAGUGGGAGUCUGUCCUCCAAGGAGAGCCUGCUGGCAUCCAAUUCAGGAACCAUGUGGUCCUCUUCAGGGUGUUGGUGGGACCAGGAGACGAAGGUCAGCAAAUACUCAGGACUGUUUAAACUCACACACUUACAGCUCCCUUGAUAAGCAGCAGUUCUAUAGUAACCAUUGCCAUGGUUAGACCUCCGUGCCCAAACACUGCCUGGGUUUCUGUGGCUUCCUUUAUGACUAUGAGCCAGCUAGGCCAUCUGGGUCUGGAGUAAGGUUCCCAGUCUUAGCUGGGAGAGGGCUGUUGGCAGAGGGGACCCAUGAGAACACACACACCUAGGACUUAUCUUUAUACAGUCAGGCUACUUUGUUAGCUUAAUAGUGUGAAUUAGGGA